Molecule: non-coding RNA, 29 nt
Filed under: Mus musculus (house mouse)
Lineage: Eukaryota; Metazoa; Chordata; Mammalia; Rodentia; Muridae
Source: RNAcentral
UCCCAUUCUACGUGGGUCUCGGUGCCAGC